GAUGAAGAACGUAGCGAAAUGCGAUAAGUAAUGUGAAUUGCAGAAUUCAGUGAAUCAUCGAAUCUUUGAACGCACAUUGCGCCCCCUGGUAUUCCGGGGGGCAUGCCUGUUCGAGCGUCAUUUCACCACUCAAGCCUCGCCUGGUAUUGGGCAACGCGGUCCGCCGCGUGCCUCAAAUCGACCGGCUGGGUCUUCUGUCCCCUAAGCGUUGUGGAAACUAUUCGCUAAAGGGUGUUCGGGAGGCUACGCCGUAAAACAACCCCAUUUCUAAGGUUGACCUCGGAUCAGGUAGGGAUACCCGCUGAACUUAAGCAUAUCAAUAAGCGGAGGA
This 331-nucleotide unclassified non-coding RNA is filed under the name soil metagenome. Its description in RNAcentral is "partial contains 5.8S ribosomal RNA, internal transcribed spacer 2, and large subunit ribosomal RNA". The stretch from base 1 to 120 matches the Rfam family "5.8S ribosomal RNA", at positions 35 to 154 of the family's 154-position model. The record is from RNAcentral.